UGGCAUGGGGGGUGCUAUAAUGCAGUCGACGAGUUCUGAUUAUUGAAAGGUGCUUGCAUCUUGAUUUAAUUUUGAACGAGUGGCGGACGGGUGAGUAACACGUGGGUAACCUGCCCUUAAGUGGGGGAUAACAUUUGGAAACAGAUGCUAAUACCGCAUAAAUCCAAGAACCGCAUGGUUCUUGGCUGAAAGAUGGCGUAAGCUAUCGCUUUUGGAUGGACCCGCGGCGUAUUAGCUAGUUGGUGAGGUAACGGCUCACCAAGGCAAUGAUACGUAGCCGAACUGAGAGGUUGAUCGGCCACAUUGGGACUGAGACACGGCCCAAACUCCUACGGGAGGCAGCAGUAGGGAAUCUUCCACAAUGGACGCAAGUCUGAUGGAGCAACGCCGCGUGAGUGAAGAAGGCUUUCGGGUCGUAAAACUCUGUUGUUGGAGAAGAAUGGUCGGCAGAGUAACUGUUGUCGGCGUGACGGUAUCCAACCAGAAAGCCACGGCUAACUACGUGCCAGCAGCCGCGGUAAUACGUAGGUGGCAAGCGUUAUCCGGAUUUAUUGGGCGUAAAGCGAGCGCAGGCGGUUUUUUAAGUCUGAUGUGAAAGCCCUCGGCUUAACCGAGGAAGUGCAUCGGAAACUGGGAAACUUGAGUGCAGAAGAGGACAGUGGAACUCCAUGUGUAGCGGUGAAAUGCGUAGAUAUAUGGAAGAACACCAGUGGCGAAGGCGGCUGUCUGGUCUGUAACUGACGCUGAGGCUCGAAAGCAUGGGUAGCGAACAGGAUUAGAUACCCUGGUAGUCCAUGCCGUAAACGAUGAAUGCUAGGUGUUGGAGGGUUUCCGCCCUUCAGUGCCGCAGCUAACGCAUUAAGCAUUCCGCCUGGGGAGUACGACCGCAAGGUUGAAACUCAAAGGAAUUGACGGGGGCCCGCACAAGCGGUGGAGCAUGUGGUUUAAUUCGAAGCAACGCGAAGAACCUUACCAGGUCUUGACAUCUUUUGAUCACCUGAGAGAUCAGGUUUCCCCUUCGGGGGCAAAAUGACAGGUGGUGCAUGGUUGUCGUCAGCUCGUGUCGUGAGAUGUUGGGUUAAGUCCCGCAACGAGCGCAACCCUUAUGACUAGUUGCCAGCAUUUAGUUGGGCACUCUAGUAAGACUGCCGGUGACAAACCGGAGGAAGGUGGGGAUGACGUCAAAUCAUCAUGCCCCUUAUGACCUGGGCUACACACGUGCUACAAUGGAUGGUACAACGAGUUGCGAGACCGCGAGGUCAAGCUAAUCUCUUAAAGCCAUUCUCAGUUCGGACUGUAGGCUGCAACUCGCCUACACGAAGUCGGAAUCGCUAGUAAUCGCGGAUCAGCACGCCGCGGUGAAUACGUUCCCGGGCCUUGUACACACCGCCCGUCACACCAUGAGAGUUUGUAACACCCGAAGCCGGUGGCGUAACCCUUUUAGGGAGCGAGCCGUCUAAGGUGAACCGAAAAC
Molecule: ribosomal RNA, 1474 nt
Filed under: Lacticaseibacillus casei
Lineage: Bacteria; Bacillati; Bacillota; Bacilli; Lactobacillales; Lactobacillaceae
Also listed under: 1 other name
Description: bacterial SSU rRNA
Rfam family: Bacterial small subunit ribosomal RNA
Source: RNAcentral